UAUAUAUUUUUUUUUUCUCCUUUUUUCAUCGUCUUUGUUUCUUUCUUUUCUUAUUAACUUUGUCAUGAGAGUUCUGAAGAUAAUGGUUUAUUUAAUCUGUGUGUGUGUGUGUGUGUGUGUGUGUGUGUGUGUGUGUGUGUGUGUGUGUGUGUGUGUGUGUGUGUGUGUGUGUGUGUGUGUGUGUGUGUGUGUGUGUGUGUGUGUGUGUGUGUGUGUGUGUGUGUGUGUGUGUGUGUGUGUGUGUGUGUGUGUGUGUGUGUGUGCUAUGUGACGAGUUUGUGGUCAAGAUACACAGUGUACGUAUAUUAGUGUGUGUGUGUGUGUGUGUGUGUGUGUGUGUGUGUGUGUGUGUGUGUGUGUGUGUGUGUGUGUGUGUGUGUGUGUGUGUGUGUGUGUGUGUGUCUGUC
Portunus trituberculatus (swimming crab) is the source of this 407-nucleotide long non-coding RNA. RefSeq lists it as uncharacterized. The record is from RefSeq and is a predicted model, not a curated record. NCBI's taxonomy places the organism in Eukaryota, Metazoa, Arthropoda, Malacostraca, Decapoda, Portunidae. The transcript is spliced from 2 exons.